UACGUAGGUGGCAAGCGUUGUCCGGAUUUAUUGGGCGUAAAGCGCGCGCAGGCGGUUCGAAAAGUCCAUGGUGAAAGCGCCCGGCUCAACUGGGCGAGUGCCGUGGGGACUGUCGAGCUGGAGGGAAGCAGAGGCGAGUGGAAUUCCGGGUGUAGUGGUGAAAUGCGUAGAGAUCCGGAGGAACGACCAGUGGCGAAGGCG
This 201-nucleotide ribosomal RNA is filed under the name uncultured bacterium. Its description in RNAcentral is "partial 16S ribosomal RNA". It matches the Rfam family "Bacterial small subunit ribosomal RNA", at positions 524 to 723 of the family's 1533-position model. The record is from RNAcentral.